CGUGAUCGCGGAACAGAGAUAGUAGUAAUAAAAAACUCAAUAGUGAGCAUCCUCACGCAUACCUACUCGCGCAACUGUACGGUCUCGAUUCACCGAUCUGAUUCCUCCAUUAAUGGAACGGAACACAAGCUCAAUUCCCUUUCCGUUUCGUUCCAAUUUUCGAAGCUGCCAACUUUUUCUCUCUUGUCUUCUACCAAAAAGCUCACUUUUUUAUUCACACUCAAUAAAAACUCAACUGUGUUAAUCUCUCUCUGUCGCUCUGUUAAUCUCACCGCCAUUGCCGUAUUAAAAUAUUCAUUUGUUUCUGACUACAGUUUGUACUGACCCUUUUCUUUUUUUCCCCUGUUUUAAUGGAAAAGUUGAGGUCUUUCAAAUCUCUGUCUCCAGUUCAUCAUCUUCAUCGUGCUAACUCUCCUUCACAUCCAAUAGAAGAACGUCAAAAUUUAUUGAAAGAAACCUCAAUACCCAGUGUGUCUAGUAGGGAUUCUCAAGCUAUGGAUGGAACUGAGGGUAAAGAAGUAGUCGUCAAAGCGAAUAUCAGAGAAACCCCAAAAACCUAUAAAGAAACAGAGCUCUCUUCUUCUUCAUCUUCUUCGAAAACCCAGUUGAGUAACAAUGCCAGUACAGAUGAGAGUAUACAGAAUAAGGUAUAUAGAGAUUCCAGUUACGAUUUCUCUAACGAUGCAGCAAUGAAACGCAUGAGGGAUAACAGCAAAGAUUUCGACUUCGUAACGGAAUCGCCAUUUUCACAGCCGUCUCCGUUAUCUAGGGUGGAAGAAAGCCCCAACCACGGCGUCCUUACGCCGAGGGAAGUUCGGGUUUCUUUCAAUGAGAACCUUGCCGGUAACGGAUCGGUUCGCCGGCGGUCCAAUUUGAGUACUGGACCGGGUUUACAAGAUGAGGUUGUGCUCAGUACCAGCUCUUCGUUUAGGAGAAAAUCGAAUCUUUUAGCUGCUACUAGAACAAAAUCGAGGUUAAUGGACCCACCUGAGCAAGAUCAAAGGUCACAGAAGAUUACUAUGAAAUCUGGGAUUUUAGGGAGAAGUACUGAAAUUGAAGAUGAUGACCCUUUUUCAGAUGAGGAUUUACCAGAAGAGUAUAAGAAAAUGAAGUUUAAUUUAUUCUCUGUUCUUCAGAUGGUGAGUUUGAUUUUGAUAAUUGCGGCUUUUGUUUGUAGUCUUACUAUUAGAAAAUUUAAGGGCAGGAGUAUAUUUGGGCUUGCAUUGUGGAAAUGGGAGUUAAUGGUUUUAGUGUUGAUUUGUGGAAGAUUGGUUUCUGGAUGGGGGAUUAGAUUGGCUGUAUUCUUUAUUGAGAGGAAUUUCGUGUUGCGUAAAAGGGUGUUGUAUUUUGUGUAUGGAUUGAGGAACUCAGUGCAGAAUUGCAUUUGGUUGAGUCUUGUUUUGAUUGCUUGGCAAUGUAUUUUUGAUAAGAAGGUUGAGAGUAUUACGAAUACGAAGGUAUUAAGGUAUGUGUCUCAGAUUUGGGUGUGUCUCUUGUUGGGAACAUUCAUUUGGUUGCUGAAGACACUGUUGGUGAAGGUUUUGGCUACGUCGUUUCAUGUUACUGCAUUUUUUGAUCGGAUUCAAGAAGCUUUGUUUACUCAGUAUGUGAUUGAGACGUUGUCUGGACCGCCAUUGGUUGAGAUUAAGAUGGAGCUAGAGGAGGAGGAGAGGGUUAUUGCUGAAGUGCAGAAGCUUCAGAGUGCUGGGGCUACACUGCCUCCUGAUCUCAAGGCCAGUAUAUUUCCAAAGAGACCGAUUGGGACUCCACGGAAGUCCACUGCUGCUGCUACUCCUAGGAGUCCUGUAUUUUCGAGAGCUGCUUCAAGAAAGGAAAAAGAAGAACAGGGAGGCAUAACUAUAGAUCAUCUACAUAGGCUGAAUCAGAAGAACAUUUCAGCUUGGAAUAUGAAAAGGUUGAUAAAUAUUGUUCGUAAAGGUGUGCUGUCAACUUUGGAUGAGAAGCUUGAGCAGUCAAAUGGCGACGAUGAAGCUGCAGUGCAAAUCACAAGUGAGAAACAGGCAAAAAUUGCUGCCAAGAAGGUUUUUAUUAAUGUGGCGAAGCCUGACUCAAAGUUCAUCUAUCUGGAGGAUGUAAUGCGUUUUAUGAGAGAAGAUGAAGCUUUGAAAACAAUGCAGCUCUUUGAAGGUGGAACUGAAGCCAAAGGAAUUAGUAAACGCGCGUUGAAAAAUUGGGUGGUGAAUGCGUUUAGAGAACGGAGAGCUCUUGCUUUGUCUUUGAACGACACAAAGACUGCCGUUAACAAACUACAUCACAUGUUGAACGUCUUAGUAGGGGUUAUCAUACUGGUCGUCUGGCUUCUUAUACUCAAAGUUGCCACUACACAUUUCCUGGUCUUUAUGAGCUCUCAAGUUCUUCUGGUCGUAUUCAUGUUUGGAAACACUGCCAAGACAACAUUCGAGGCAAUCAUAUUCUUAUUUGUGAUGCACCCAUUUGAUGUAGGUGAUCGUGUUGAAAUUGACGGAGUUCAUAUGAUUGUAGAAGAGAUGAAUAUAUUGACUACGGUUCUCCUGAGAUUUGAUAACCUGAAGAUCAUAUAUCCCAACAGUGUCUUAUCUACAAAGCCCAUAAGUAACUACUAUCGCAGUCCAGACAUGGGAGAUGCAAUUGAGUUCUGCAUUCACAUCUCAACUCCUAUGGAAAAAAUAGCAUCGAUGAAAGAGAAAAUAACAAGGUAUAUUCAGAACAAAAGUGAUCAUUGGUAUCCAGAUCCCUCAGUUGUGAUGAGGGAUGUUGAAGACUUGAACAGGAUAAAGUGGUCAGUAUGGAUUUCACACACAAUGAAUUUCCAAGACAUGGGAGAGAGAUGGGCAAGGAGAGCUCUUUUAAUUGAAGAAAUGGUUAAGAUAUUCAGAGAGCUAGAUAUCGAAUAUCGUAUGCUCCCUCUCGAUGUCAAUGUUCGUAAUAUGCCACAGAUAUCAUCGAGCAGAGUCCCUUCUAACUGGUCUCUUUGUGCUUAAUCAAUGAUUGAAACGUCUACUCAUCUGAUAAUUCUCACCAGAGACCAUUGAAGAAAGGGGCAGAAAUUAAAGACCAGCACAAAAUAGGAGAAGUUCAAAAUGAUCCAUUAAAUGGAUUGGGAAUGUCGAGUGCCUCAAUCUUUUGACGACAAAUUGAUAUGGAUGAUGACAACGAUGACGUCUUUCCGCUUUUUUAAGGUCUGAUAGAAGGAUGUGUAAAAAUUAGACUGUUAUACAUUCCCUUGCUUCUAUUAGGCAGUUUCUCUAAUCACAUAUGACUGUAAAUAACAAGUAUACCCUGUUUAUAUGACUGUUAAUAAUUGAAUAUGCAUAUUGAUAUGUCUUAUCUUGGUUGGGUCUUGAAUCUUGUGAUUUCCAUUAUGGAAUUUGUUUGG
Solanum tuberosum (potato) is the source of this 3376-nucleotide RNA transcript. It is a transcript of the gene named mechanosensitive ion channel protein 8-like, with no coding region annotated. Lineage: Eukaryota; Viridiplantae; Streptophyta; Magnoliopsida; Solanales; Solanaceae. The transcript is spliced from 6 exons. The record is from RefSeq and is a predicted model, not a curated record.